UGGAUUAGGCAUGCAAGUCGAACGGCAGCACGGGGGCAACCCUGGUGGCGAGUGGCGAACGGGUGAGUAAUACAUCGGAACGUGCCCAGUCGUGGGGGAUAACGUAGCGAAAGUUACGCUAAUACCGCAUACGAUCUCUGGAUGAAAGCGGGGGACCGCAAGGCCUCGCGCGAUUGGAGCGGCCGAUGUCAGAUUAGGUAGUUGGUGGGGUAAAGGCCUACCAAGCCGACGAUCUGUAGCUGGUCUGAGAGGACGACCAGCCACACUGGGACUGAGACACGGCCCAGACUCCUACGGGAGGCAGCAGUGGGGAAUUUUGGACAAUGGGCGCAAGCCUGAUCCAGCCAUUCCGCGUGCAGGAUGAAGGCCUUCGGGUUGUAAACCGCUUUUGUACGGAACGAAACGGCGCCCUCUAAUACAGGGUGCUAAUGACGGUACCGUAAGAAUAAGCACCGGCUAACUACGUGCCAGCAGCCGCGGUA
RNAcentral lists this ribosomal RNA (482 nucleotides) under uncultured bacterium. Its description in RNAcentral is "bacterial SSU rRNA". It matches the Rfam family "Bacterial small subunit ribosomal RNA", at positions 45 to 522 of the family's 1533-position model. The record is from RNAcentral.